Molecule: long non-coding RNA, 206 nt
Filed under: Prunus dulcis (almond)
Lineage: Eukaryota; Viridiplantae; Streptophyta; Magnoliopsida; Rosales; Rosaceae
Description: sRNA ncRNA
Source: RNAcentral
AUGGAUCCUCCCACUACGAUAGUGACCCUAAACAAACAAGUUGAAAUCACUUUCCCUUUUGGUUGGUUUGACUUCGAACCAACGCACACACCAGACCAGACAUGUAGAGUCCUAUCAACCACGACAACCAUAUCAUCAUGUCACAAACCCGUAAUUUUUUAAUGCCCCAAACGACAUUCUGUUUUGGCGUUUUGUCUCUCCACUAA